This 276-nucleotide long non-coding RNA is filed under the name Vigna radiata. RNAcentral describes it as "long non-coding RNA (VRAD_LNC009051)". The record is from RNAcentral. Lineage: Eukaryota; Viridiplantae; Streptophyta; Magnoliopsida; Fabales; Fabaceae.
UUGCAAUUUGUUCAGACAGGAGAAGUUGUAGUUCGCGAAAAAUCUGAAUCAUCUGAAAGUUCCUUUUUCGGUGGCGAAACUCCUGUUUAUGACACCUCUGAAGGCUCUGGAUUAUAUGAAUCACCUCCCAGUGAUGAAUCAUAUGCGUACGAAUCACCUCCCAGUGAAGAAUCCUACGCCUAUGAAUCAACUGAUCGUCAGAGCUAUGAAACAUAUAGAGAUUCUGAACUGUGAUGUGAUGAAAAUGUGAUGUUCAUAUACUGGUAUUUGCUCAAA